Pelobates cultripes (western spadefoot toad) is the source of this 665-nucleotide non-coding RNA. Lineage: Eukaryota; Metazoa; Chordata; Amphibia; Anura; Pelobatidae. The record is from the annotation of a GenBank genome assembly.
GGCAGAGCCAAAGCAUCAUAGCAGGGGCACCCAUUCCCCAUACAGCAGAGUGAGAAAACAGAAUAAAGUAACCCAGAAUAACAAUAAAUCAAUGAGCAGUAUACAGAAUCUGUCAGAUAAAUGGCCUAAAUACAGCAACAGAUGUUAACAAGUGAUACAGCAGCUACAUAGCAUGAAGUGGUAUAGGAAAUAACACAGAAUAGACUGCCUAGCUAAACCCAGCAAUAGACUGCCUAGCUAAACACAGCAAUAGACUGCCUAGCUAAACCCAGCAAUAGACUGCCUAGAUAAACACAGCAAUAGACUGCCUAGCUAAACACAGCAAUAGACUGCCUAGCUAAACCCAGCAAUAGACUGCCUAGCUAAACACAGCAAUAGACUGCCUAGCUAAACACAGCAAUAGACUGCCUAGCUAAACACAGCAAUAGACUGCCUAGAUAAACACAGCAAUAGACUGCCUAGAUAAACCCAGCAAUAGACUGCCUAGCUAAACACAGCAAUAGACUGCCUAAAUAAAACCAGCAAUUAAGCUGCCUGAACAAACCUAACACAUAGACUGAUUAAAUAGCCUGUUUAAAUAAACAAGCAGCAUGUAGAAUAAAACAACAACCAAGAGCAGAGACAACUCUGAGUUGGUGAGUGCUCACCUGGAGGCAGCAGCAAAG